RNAcentral lists this ribosomal RNA (226 nucleotides) under Klebsiella pneumoniae. RNAcentral's name for it is "partial 16S ribosomal RNA". It matches the Rfam family "Bacterial small subunit ribosomal RNA", at positions 999 to 1225 of the family's 1533-position model. The record is from RNAcentral. Lineage: Bacteria; Pseudomonadati; Pseudomonadota; Gammaproteobacteria; Enterobacterales; Enterobacteriaceae.
UCCAGAGAUGGAUUGGUGCCUUCGGGAACUGUGAGACAGGUGCUGCAUGGCUGUCGUCAGCUCGUGUUGUGAAAUGUUGGGUUAAGUCCCGCAACGAGCGCAACCCUUAUCCUUUGUUGCCAGCGGUUCGGCCGGGAACUCAAAGGAGACUGCCAGUGAUAAACUGGAGGAAGGCGGGGAUGACGUCAAGACAUCAUGGCCCUUACGACCAGGGCUACACACGUGC